ACUCCCCUUCCUCUUCUGAUCACUGCAGGAAUAGACAAGGACCAUCUAUCGGCAGACCACGUAUGUGUAUGGGAAUAAGGGGAACCUGGGAAUGAGGGGAACCCACAAGUCGUGAGGCGACGUCCUGCGCUAGGCAUAGCCAUUGUGCUGCCCUUGGGUAGUGAGCUCACAGGUUAGGUUAGGUUGCCGGCUGGGGUAGGAGAAAAGCUCCUAGGAGGGAGUUCCUACAAAAAAGAGGUUGCCGGCUGGGGUAGGAGAAAAGCUCCCAGGAGGGAGUUCCUACAAAGGGGACCUGUAAGUUGUAUGCGUGGAAAAAGAGUAACAACGUGGAUUUUUGUGGCAAUAAUAGCAGGACUCACAGGUUGUAUAAUUUCUAUAACCAUCCGUUGUAAAUGUUCGGUACCGUGUAUUUGAACUACUGAUGCAUUCAAAAAAUUCUUUCAAGCGUUCUAACUCAGACUGUACUUAAGCUGGCAUUUGUGUGUGUGUGUGUGUGUGUGUGUGUGUGUGAGUGAGUGGGACGUGGCAGAGCCAUGAAGUGAGUGCAGAGUCCCUAGUCUGUGGUUCCGUUCUCCCGCGAGGGAAAUGGCCGGAGAAGGACGGAGUGAAAGACGAUUCUUUGUGUUGUCUGUCCGUUGUUUGUAUGUAUUUUAUAGACUGGAAUAAGGAUGGGAGUUUGUACUCUAUAGAUUGGGAAGAGGGACCAGAGGAAAGGUGUACAUUCCACCCGACAAAUGAAUGUUGGCCCAUUUAUGUUAUACUUUGUUUAGUGUGUGAGGAGGUGUACCAGGGCUGGUGGCAUCAUUUGUGUCCAGAGUGCCAUUGUGACUGAUGGAUGGAGCAUUGGGGAUUAGUGUGGGGAAAUUCUGGAGUAUUGAGAGUUACUUGUGGAAGUUUUAAGGCAGUAAUGAACUGAUAAGAAUAUUGUAAACAUCAUGGGAGGCUCCCAGGGGAAUGAAAUUCCCAAACAAUCCCGUUCGGAAUGCGUAUUGGUAUAUUGAUGGGAUAUUGCGGGGGAACCUGGAGGCACCCUGAGUAAGGAAACUUUAAUCAAGUAUUACAAUCAGUGGUGGUUGAUAUAUAACUUUGAAGAUGAAAAGAAGUGGCCCCAGAAUGGGACCCUAAACUAUAAUACCUUCUUACAGUUACUGUUAUUCUUAAGGACGGAAGGUAAAUGAAGUAACAUUAACAGUUUUUAUAAUUGAGUGCUUUAAUCACGAGACUAAGUAUUGGAUGUUUGUGGAAACUGAAGAACUGUAUUGUUUGAUUAGUGGGUUCUGAAGGGAAUGGGAUAAACAGUUUUGAUGAUAUAAUGGCAUACAAAAGUGUGACUUGAGGGUAUGAAUAGUGGACAGAGAGAAAAGGGUUAAAGAGAAAGUAAAUUUAUCUGCGUUGCCAUGAGAGUAACCCCCCCCCACCCCGCAUGGUUCCCCCGCGAGCAGAACUCGAAGUGAGAGAGAGACGGAGUGAGAGAGUGCUGUUGUAAACAGCAUUACCUGUGAAGGGGGUGGGAGGUGGAGAGGACGGGGCACUGGAAGUGAGAACAGCCUUCAUCUGCAGAGAUCUAGGAAACCCAAAAUUCCAGUGUUAGCACUGGAAGCCUUCGGAGAGGAGGAGGUGAAACUGAAAUAUAAUGGUAGUGGUUUAUGUAAUAAUUAGAGUUUGAAAAGUGAAAGGUUUGGGAAGGAUGCAGGCUGAGGAAGGCAAGGUGUAACAGGGAUGUCAGAACCAAGGAGGACAGAAAUCAGAUCCACUGGUUAAAUUGCAGCUAGGAGAGCAGGAUAAAGAUGUUUAUUUUCUGGUGGGGACAGGUGCCUCUUACCACCCAUAGAUGAUUUUGCAGCAGUGGUAGGAGCUACUGGCCAACAAGAAAAAGCUUACCUUUUGGGAUCAAUUAAAUAUAGGCUGAGAAAAUAAGUAGGAAUACAUAAAUUCUUGUACAUGCCAGGUUCUCCAAAACUAUUAUUCUGGCAAGACUUAUUAGAACAAAUGGAUGCAGGGAUUAAAUUCAAUAGAACUGGAGCUAAGCGUCAAACAAUUAACUGAUUGAAAAUUAUAAGUCUGGCUUUAAC
Molecule: long non-coding RNA, 2072 nt
Organism: Gallus gallus (chicken)
Lineage: Eukaryota; Metazoa; Chordata; Aves; Galliformes; Phasianidae
Source: Ensembl